CAACCAUCAAGCCCCAGGCUUGUGUUGGAGCCCUGCGGCCGCCGCAGGCUCCCAAAAUCAGUGGCGGGCUCGCUAUCACACCGAGUGCAGUAGUUUACUCUUCGCUCAGGGCGUGUGGCGGGUGCUAGCCGUGAAACCCCCCAACUUCUCAA
This 152-nucleotide unclassified non-coding RNA is filed under the name uncultured Podospora. RNAcentral describes it as "sequence contains ITS2". The record is from RNAcentral. Lineage: Eukaryota; Fungi; Ascomycota; Sordariomycetes; Sordariales; Lasiosphaeriaceae.